RNAcentral lists this ribosomal RNA (451 nucleotides) under uncultured bacterium. RNAcentral describes it as "partial 16S ribosomal RNA". It matches the Rfam family "Bacterial small subunit ribosomal RNA", at positions 355 to 797 of the family's 1533-position model. The record is from RNAcentral.
UGGGGAAUAUUGCACAAUGGGCGCAAGCCUGAUGCAGCCAUGCUGCGUGUGUGAAGAAGGCCUUCGGGUUGUAAAGCACUUUCAGCGAGGAGGAAGGUGGUGAGCUUAAUACGCUCAUCAAUUGACGUUACUCGCAGAAGAAGCACCGGCUAACUCCGUGCCAGCAGCCGCGGUAAUACGGAGGGUGCAAGCGUUAAUCGGAAUUACUGGGCGUAAAGCGCACGCAGGCGGUUUGUUAAGUCAGAUGUGAAAUCCCCGGGCUCAACCUGGGAACUGCAUUUGAAACUGGCAAGCUAGAGUCUCGUAGAGGGGGGUAGAAUUCCAGGUGUAGCGGUGAAAUGCGUAGAGAUCUGGAGGAAUACCGGUGGCGAAGGCGGCCCCCUGGACGAAGACUGACGCUCAGGUGCGAAAGCGUGGGGCAGCAAACAGGAUUAGAUACCCUGGUAGUCCA